RNAcentral lists this ribosomal RNA (537 nucleotides) under uncultured bacterium. RNAcentral describes it as "bacterial SSU rRNA". It matches the Rfam family "Bacterial small subunit ribosomal RNA", at positions 774 to 1302 of the family's 1533-position model. The record is from RNAcentral.
AGAAAAUAGAUACCCUGGUAGUCCUAGCCGUAAACUCUGAGAACUUGAUUGAAGGACCCUCCAUAGUCUUUCAGUCGUAGCGAAAAAGUGUUAAGUUCUCCGCCUGGGGAGUAUGGUCGCAAGGCUGAAACUCAAAGAAAUUGACGGGGGCUCACACAAGCGGUGGAGGAUGUGGCUUAAUUCGAGGCUACGCGAAGAACCUUAUCCUAGUCUUGACAUGCAUUUCUAAGUCGGUGAAAGCCGGCGAGUGUAGCAAUACACAACUUGCACAGGUGCUGCGUGGCUGUCGUCAGCUCGUGUCGUGAGAUGUCGCGUUAAGUCGCUUAACGAGCGAAACCCUUGUCCUUAGUUACCAGCGAGUAAUGUCGGGGACUCUAAGGAGACUGCCGGUGUUAAACCGGAGGAAGGUGGGGAUGACGUCAAGUCCUCAUGGCCUUUAUGGCUAGGGCUGCACACGUCCUACAAUGGCACACACAGAGGGAAGCAAAACCGUGAGGUCAAGCAAAUCCCAGAAAAUGUGCCCCAGUUCGGAUUGAA